RNAcentral lists this ribosomal RNA (164 nucleotides) under uncultured bacterium. Its description in RNAcentral is "partial 16S ribosomal RNA". It matches the Rfam family "Bacterial small subunit ribosomal RNA", at positions 338 to 519 of the family's 1533-position model. The record is from RNAcentral.
CCUACGGGAGGCAGCAGUGGGGAAUCUUAGACAAUGGGGGCAACCCUGAUCUAGCCAUGCCGCGUGAGUGAUGAAGGCCUUAGGGUUGUAAAGCUCUUUCAGCUGGGAAGAUAAUGACGGUACCAGCAGAAGAAGCCCCGGCUAACUCCGUGCCAGCAGCCGCG